Molecule: microRNA precursor, 201 nt
Filed under: Oryza sativa Japonica Group (Japanese rice)
Lineage: Eukaryota; Viridiplantae; Streptophyta; Magnoliopsida; Poales; Poaceae
Description: MIR812 microRNA precursor family
Rfam family: MIR812 microRNA precursor family
Source: Rfam by way of RNAcentral
AAAAACUUAAUUUUUAGGUUUCCGUGUCUGAUGUUUGACCGUCCGUCUUAUAUAAAAUUUUUGCAUGAUUAGAAUUUUCAUUAUUGUUAAAUGAUAAAACAUGAAUAAAACUUUAUACAUGGCUUAUUUUUUAAUUUUUUUUAUAAUUUUUUAAAAUAAGACGAACGAUCAAACGUUAGACACGGAAAUUCAGGAAUUAAG